This 254-nucleotide ribosomal RNA is filed under the name uncultured fungus. RNAcentral's name for it is "partial 18S small subunit ribosomal RNA". It matches the Rfam family "Eukaryotic small subunit ribosomal RNA", at positions 1580 to 1831 of the family's 1831-position model. Lineage: Eukaryota; Fungi. The record is from RNAcentral.
AGCAUUGCAAUUAUUGCUCUUCAACGAGGAAUGCCUAGUAAGCGUACGUCAUCAGCGUGCGUUGAUUACGUCCCUGCCCUUUGUACACACCGCCCGUCGCUACUACCGAUUGAAUGGCUGAGUGAGGCCUUCGGACUGGCCCAGGGAGGUCGGCAACGACCACCCAGGGCCGGAAAGUUGGUCAAACUCCGUCAUUUAGAGGAAGUAAAAGUCGUAACAAGGUUUCCGUAGGUGAACCUGCGGAAGGAUCAUUA